This 829-nucleotide non-coding RNA is filed under the name Uroplatus sameiti. Lineage: Eukaryota; Metazoa; Chordata; Lepidosauria; Squamata; Gekkonidae. The record is from RNAcentral.
AAAAUUGUUUUGGUCCCAGAUAUAUUAUUGCUUUUAGCUAGAAAUAUACAUGCCAGCUUCCCCGCCCCAGUGAAAACGCCCACUUUUGACUUUCCCCACAUGUGGGGCCGGUAUCAGGCACGGUUUUUACCAGCCCAAAACACCUAGCCAAGCCACACCCCCACUGGAUUUCAGCAGUAAAAAACACUAAGCACUAAGCAAACGCUUGACUUGGUAAUAGCUACCCUGGGCUGGUAAACCCCGUGCCAGCCACCGCGGUUACACGAGGAGCCCAAAACAAUGAAUAUCGGCGUAAAGCGUGACUAGAGAAGGAGUUUGUUUUAAGGGCCAAAGAACUAUGAUAAAGCUGUAAAACGCUCUAUAUAAUUAGAAAUCACCUCAACCCUGGUCACGACUAACCUUGACCUCACGAAAACUAAGAUCCAAACUAGGAUUAGAUACCCUACUAUGCUUAGUCGUAAACUAACGAAACUCUUUCGCCCGCCAGAAAAUUACAAGCAACCAGCUUAAAACUCAAAAAACUUGACAGUAUUUCACAUCGACCUAGAGGAGCCUGUCCUAUAACCGAUAACCCACGAUCAACCUCACCCACCUUUGCAACAACAGUCUAUAUACCUCCGUCGCCAGCCCGCCUGAAAACAGAAACAAAGCGAGCACAAUAGCUAUUCACUAGGACGACAGGUCAAGGUGUAACUUAUAGGUUGGGCAGAGAUGGGCUACAUUUCCUAAUAUAGAAAAUACCUACCCCGCUAUGAAACUUGCGUAAAAAGGUGGAUUUAGCAGUAAGUCAGGCAAGAAAAGCCUGCCUGAAAGCCGCCCUGAAAUGUGU